RNAcentral lists this ribosomal RNA (339 nucleotides) under Triticum aestivum (bread wheat). RNAcentral's name for it is "partial small subunit ribosomal RNA". The record is from RNAcentral. Lineage: Eukaryota; Viridiplantae; Streptophyta; Magnoliopsida; Poales; Poaceae.
CUGAACCUGGACGACAUUCUGCAUGGCUUUGCCGGUCGGCGUGUGGGUUUCCCAAUAACCUAUCUGGGUCUGCCAAUUUCCCUGGGUAGAUUGUGGAAAGUGCACCUUCAGUUCAUCUUCGACCCCAUCAAGGCAAAACUGGCACGCUGGAAAGGGCGGCUCAUGAAUAGUGCAGGCCGGCACACACUUGUCCGCUCGGUGCUAUCUGCUAUUCCGAUCUUCGCGCUCACCUCCAUCAAGGCCUCGAGUAGUGUCCUAAAGGACAUUGACAAGAUCUGCCAUCGCUUCCUCUGGGCCCAAGAGGAGGAACUAUCGUGGGGCAAAUGCAAAGUAAACUGG